CCUACGGGGGGCAGCAGUGAGGAAUAUUGGUCAAUGGCCGCAGGGCUGAACCAGCCAAGUCGCGUGAGGGAUGACGGUCCUAUGGAUUGUAAACCUCUUUUGUCAGGGAGCAAAGGGCGCCACGUGUGGCGUUUUGCGAGUACCUGAAGAAAAAGCAUCGGCUAACUCCGUGCCAGCAGCCGCGGUAAUACGGAGGAUGCGAGCGUUAUCCGGAUUUAUUGGGUUUAAAGGGUGCGUAGGCGGUCCGUUAAGUCAGCGGUAAAAUUGCGGGGCUCAACCCCGUCGAGCCGUUGAAACUGGCAAACUGGAGUGUGUGAGAGGAUAGUGGAAUUCCAGGUGUAGGAGUGAAAUCCGUAGAUAUCUGGAGGAACAUCAGUGGCGAAGGCGACUAUCUGGCACAUAACUGACGCUGAGGAGCGAAAGCGUGGGUAGCAAACAGGAUUAGAUACCCCAGUAGUC
This 459-nucleotide ribosomal RNA is filed under the name uncultured bacterium. Its description in RNAcentral is "partial 16S ribosomal RNA". It matches the Rfam family "Bacterial small subunit ribosomal RNA", at positions 338 to 795 of the family's 1533-position model. The record is from RNAcentral.